Molecule: transfer RNA, 90 nt
Filed under: Acidobacteriaceae bacterium
Lineage: Bacteria; Pseudomonadati; Acidobacteriota; Terriglobia; Terriglobales; Acidobacteriaceae
Description: tRNA-Ser
Rfam family: tRNA
About the family: Transfer RNA (tRNA) molecules are approximately 80 nucleotides in length.
Source: RNAcentral
GGAGGGUUGGCCGAGUCGUGAGGCUCUCCGUCUGAAGCGGAGUGGAUGUCGGAGAUCCGGCAUGCGCGGGUUCGAUCCCCGCACCCUCCU